RNAcentral lists this ribosomal RNA (204 nucleotides) under Plasmodium chabaudi adami. It matches the Rfam family "Eukaryotic small subunit ribosomal RNA", at positions 1625 to 1831 of the family's 1831-position model. Lineage: Eukaryota; Apicomplexa; Aconoidasida; Haemosporida; Plasmodiidae. The record is from RNAcentral.
GAUUCAUCAGAUUGUGCUGACUACGUCCCUGCCCUUUGUACACACCGCCCGUCGCUCCUACCGAUUGAAAGAUAUGAUGAAUUGUUUGGACAAGAAAAUAGAAAUUUUAUUUUUAUUUUUUUGGAAGGACCGUAAAUCCUAUCUUUUAAAGGAAGGAGAAGUCGUAACAAGGUUUCCGUAGGUGAACCUGCGGAAGGAUCAUUA